AAGGGAGACCUAAUUCCGGUAGGAGACGAAAAAAAAGUAGUCCCUACCAGGAAUCAAUCCCAAAAGGUCGGAACGAGGUAUGAGGCUUUCAAACUAGGUUCUGGGUUCAUAAAAGACCUGAAUCAGGAACAAGGGCUAUUAGCUCAGGUGGUUAGAGCGCACCCCUGAUAAGGGUGAGGUCCCUGGUUCGAGUCCAGGAUGGCCCACCUGCACAGGUGGCAAAAACAAGAGAAGCGAGGAAUCAGCACCUUAUCUUAUAUACAUAUAUAAGAGAGAAUGCUGGCUCUGAGUACAGAGUCCAGAGGAACCUUGAAAACUGCAUAGAGCUAGGUGAAAAAGCCAAAAAAGAAGACCGCAAGGUCAAGCUAAUAAGGGCUAACGGUGGAUACCUAGGCAC
RNAcentral lists this transfer RNA (397 nucleotides) under uncultured Microcystis sp. RNAcentral's name for it is "partial contains 16S-23S ribosomal RNA intergenic spacer, and 23S ribosomal RNA". The stretch from base 133 to 206 matches the Rfam family "tRNA". The record is from RNAcentral. Lineage: Bacteria; Bacillati; Cyanobacteriota; Cyanophyceae; Chroococcales; Microcystaceae.